GUGCUUGCUUCAGCAGUACAGAUAUAAAAAUCGAAAUGAUACAGAGAAGAUAAGCAUGACCCCUAGGUGAGGGUGAUAUGCAAAUUCAUAAAGCAUGCCGUAUUAAA
This 107-nucleotide small nuclear RNA is filed under the name Dasypus novemcinctus (nine-banded armadillo). The record is from RNAcentral. Lineage: Eukaryota; Metazoa; Chordata; Mammalia; Cingulata; Dasypodidae.